This 815-nucleotide ribosomal RNA is filed under the name Xerocomellus sp. RNAcentral's name for it is "partial large subunit ribosomal RNA". It matches the Rfam family "Eukaryotic large subunit ribosomal RNA", at positions 65 to 879 of the family's 3401-position model. The record is from RNAcentral. Lineage: Eukaryota; Fungi; Basidiomycota; Agaricomycetes; Boletales; Boletaceae.
CUAACAAGGGAUCCCCUAGUAACUGCGAGUGAAGCGGGAUGAGCUCAAAUUUUGAAUCUGGCGGUCUUUGGCCGUCCGAGUUGUAAUCUAGAGAAGCGUUUUCCGCGUUGGCCCGUGUACAAGUCUCCUGGAAAGGAGCGUCAUAGAGGGUGAGAAUCCCGUCUUUGACACGGACUACCAGUGCUAUGUGAUGCGCUCUCGACGAGUCGAGUUGUUUGGGAAUGCAGCUCAAAAUGGGUGGUAAAUUCCAUCUAAAGCUAAAUACAGGCGAGAGACCGAUAGCGAACAAGUACCGUGAGGGAAAGAUGAAAAGAACUUUGGAAAGAGAGUUAAACCGUACGUGAAAUUGCUGAAAGGGAAACGCUUGAUGUCAGUCGCGUCGGCCGGGGAUCAACCUUGCUUAACUGCUGGGUGUAUUUCCUGGUCGACGGGUCAGCAUCGGUUUCGGUCGCCGUACAAGGGCGAGGGGAAUGUGGCACUCUCCGGAGUGUGYUAUAGCCUUUCGUCGUAUGCGGUGGUCGGGACUGAGGAACUCAGCACGGCUUCGGUCUGUGCUUAGGAUGCUGGCAUAAUGGCCUUAAGCGACCCGUCUUGAAACACGGACCAAGGAGUCUAACAUGCCUGCGAGUGUUUGGGUGGCAAACUCGAGCGCGUAAUGAAAGUGAAAGUCGAGACCUCUGUCGUGSAGGGCACCGACGCCCGGACCUGAGUCUUUGACGACGGAUCUGCGGUGGAGCAUGCAUGUUGGGACCCGAAAGAUGGUGAACUAUGCCUGAAUAGGGUGAAGCCAGAGGAAACUCUGGUGGAGGCUCGUA